UGAGAUGCUAAAAAACCGUGAGUCAACU
RNAcentral lists this non-coding RNA (28 nucleotides) under Homo sapiens (human). Lineage: Eukaryota; Metazoa; Chordata; Mammalia; Primates; Hominidae. The record is from RNAcentral.